This is a long non-coding RNA of Papio anubis (olive baboon), 318 nucleotides long. NCBI's taxonomy places the organism in Eukaryota, Metazoa, Chordata, Mammalia, Primates, Cercopithecidae. The record is from Ensembl.
GUGAGCAGGAGAGAGAGGCUGUAUUUUUUUUGUUGUUGUUUUUCAGUUGUCCUUGAUGCUGCGAUGUAUCCUACAAUUGUUUAAAUGGAACGCAUUUUGAAAAUCUCGUUUCUUCAUACCAGUCUGAAACACUGGGGUAUACCUGAAAGGGGGAACAGGCAGACAUGAAGAAGAGAACAACCCUGGCGUCCGGGUGCUGAUUGCCUUUUUUAUUCGCUUGAAAAGCCUCUCAGUGGAUUGAUUUAUGAUUUGGAUACCACUUCUCCAGCUCGGGACUCUGAAGUCUGUGCUUGUCAUGCACUUCAGACAGUCAGCAGC